GCGGGUGUAGUUCAAUGGUAGAACCCCAGCCUUCCAAGCUGGUGGCGUGAGUUCGAUUCUCAUCACCCGCUC
RNAcentral lists this transfer RNA (72 nucleotides) under bacterium. RNAcentral describes it as "tRNA-Gly". It matches the Rfam family "tRNA". From Rfam's summary of the family: Transfer RNA (tRNA) molecules are approximately 80 nucleotides in length. Their secondary structure includes four short double-helical elements and three loops (D, anti-codon, and T loops). Further hydrogen bonds mediate the characteristic L-shaped molecular structure. tRNAs have two regions of fundamental functional importance: the anti-codon, which is responsible for specific mRNA codon recognition, and the 3' end, to which the tRNAs corresponding amino acid is attached (by aminoacyl-tRNA synthetases). tRNAs cope with the degeneracy of the genetic code in two manners: having more than one tRNA (with a specific anti-codon) for a particular amino acid; and 'wobble' base-pairing, i.e. permitting non-standard base-pairing at the 3rd anti-codon position. The record is from RNAcentral.